CACCCGGUGGCACAAGGUGUGUGUCUGCUAGGCAUACGCCAACUACCAGAAGAAGUUUCAGCAGAAGGCCCGGUUCGAUUCCGGGUCGGGUGG
Molecule: non-coding RNA, 93 nt
Organism: Mycena epipterygia
Lineage: Eukaryota; Fungi; Basidiomycota; Agaricomycetes; Agaricales; Mycenaceae
Source: the annotation of a GenBank genome assembly